This 200-nucleotide ribosomal RNA is filed under the name uncultured bacterium. RNAcentral's name for it is "partial 16S ribosomal RNA". It matches the Rfam family "Bacterial small subunit ribosomal RNA", at positions 8 to 203 of the family's 1533-position model. The record is from RNAcentral.
AGAGUUUGAUCAUGGCUCAGAGCGAACGUUAGCGGCGGGCCUAACACAUGCAAGUCGAACGAGAAUGAGGGCUUCGGCUCUCUAGUAAAGUGGCGGACGGGUGCGUAACACGUGGGUAAUCUACCUUCCGGCGGGGGACAACAGUCCGAAAGGAUUGCUAAUACCGCAUACGUCAGCGGCGCCUACGGGCGCUGUUGGGA